GAGGGUGCAGCUCAGUGGCAGAGCGCGUGCUUAGCAGGCACGUGGUCCUGGGUUCAGUCCCCAGCACCUCCA
RNAcentral lists this transfer RNA (72 nucleotides) under Camelus bactrianus (Bactrian camel). It matches the Rfam family "tRNA". From Rfam's summary of the family: Transfer RNA (tRNA) molecules are approximately 80 nucleotides in length. The record is from Rfam by way of RNAcentral. Lineage: Eukaryota; Metazoa; Chordata; Mammalia; Artiodactyla; Camelidae. RNAcentral also lists the same sequence under 1 other name.